GCGGCAGUAGCUCAAUGGUAGAGCCCCCGCUUCGCAUGGGGGAAACCUGGGUUCGAUUCCGGGCUGCUUCC
RNAcentral lists this transfer RNA (71 nucleotides) under Toxocara canis (dog roundworm). It matches the Rfam family "tRNA". From Rfam's summary of the family: Transfer RNA (tRNA) molecules are approximately 80 nucleotides in length. Their secondary structure includes four short double-helical elements and three loops (D, anti-codon, and T loops). The record is from Rfam by way of RNAcentral. Lineage: Eukaryota; Metazoa; Nematoda; Chromadorea; Rhabditida; Toxocaridae.